This is a non-coding RNA of Anas platyrhynchos (mallard), 724 nucleotides long. Lineage: Eukaryota; Metazoa; Chordata; Aves; Anseriformes; Anatidae. The record is from RefSeq and is a predicted model, not a curated record.
CAAAAAUAUCUACACCUGGAAAUAAUUUGAAGAAACAGGGCCAAUUUGGUUGAUCAUGAUUUAAAACUAAGGGUCUGUAGUUAAGCUGAACUUGAAUUGCUCUUUGUGGGAGAUUUUUCUGACUUAAGGCUGAACAGACAUUCUGAUCUGCUGUUUAGCUUUUCCUUGAAGACUGACAUGUCAUCUUUCUCAGGAGUUUCCUUGGAAACGAGCUGAGCAGUUUAUUUCAGGCUCCAGAUCUGCAGCUGCCUCUAAUGCAAAGUAUCUACUGAGAACCAGCAAUAAAAAUUGAUUGGAAAGCAGAGAUUUCCUAUAGGAAGGACUGAGUGGUGAUUGUUCAUCUGACCAUGAACUGGAUAAAUAAAAUGAAUAAAAUACGAAAUUGCUCCUUUUCCUUCUAGAUAUAUAAGACUGCCUAUGUGAAAUGGUACUUUCUCUGGGAAAGUUUAGCAGAGUCUGACAGAGGCACCAAGGUUUCCCAAAUCCAUGAAAAGUCAAAGGGGACGGAAAGCACACGGCAACCUUGAAGACUAAUUUGUAGUCAGCCUCAUGUUCUGCAGAGUGGAGUUCAGGUUCAGUCUGAGCUUUUGCUGUCAACCAAAGGACACAGACAUGUAUAAAUGAAAAUGUUUUCUAAAUAUAGCCAGUAUUCUGGUAAAAUAUUCAUCUUUUACUGUGUCUGACAGUAUGCAUUACCUUUGCAUUUUAUUGCUGAUAAUGAGAU